GAUGAAGAACGUAGCGAAAUGCGAUAAGUAAUGUGAAUUGCAGAAUUCAGUGAAUCAUCGAGUCUUUGAACGCACAUUGCGCCCCCUGGUAUUCCGGGGGGCAUGCCUGUCCGAGCGUCAUUGCUGCCCUCAAGCACGGCUUGUGUGUUGGGCCCCCGUCCCCGGUUUCCCCCGGGGACGGGCCCGAAAGGCAGCGGCGGCACCGCGUCCGGUCCUCGAGCGUAUGGGGCUUUGUCACCCGCUCUGUAGGCCCGGCCGGCGCCAGCCGACACCCAACUUUAUUUCUAAGGUUGACCUCGGAUCAGGUAGGGAUACCUGCUGAACUUAAGCAUAUCAAUAAGCGGAGGA
This 348-nucleotide unclassified non-coding RNA is filed under the name soil metagenome. RNAcentral describes it as "partial contains 5.8S ribosomal RNA, internal transcribed spacer 2, and large subunit ribosomal RNA". The stretch from base 1 to 120 matches the Rfam family "5.8S ribosomal RNA", at positions 35 to 154 of the family's 154-position model. The record is from RNAcentral.